This 848-nucleotide ribosomal RNA is filed under the name uncultured haloarchaeon. RNAcentral's name for it is "bacterial SSU rRNA". It matches the Rfam family "Archaeal small subunit ribosomal RNA", at positions 508 to 1353 of the family's 1478-position model. Lineage: Archaea; Methanobacteriati; Methanobacteriota; Halobacteria; Halobacteriales; Halobacteriaceae. The record is from RNAcentral.
GCUUAAAGGGGCCGUAGCUUGCCGAGUAAGUUCGUCGGGAAAUCUACUGGCUUAACCAGUAGGCGUCCGGCGAAAACUGCUCGGCUUGGGACCGGGAGACCAGAGGGGUACGUCCGGGGUAGGAGUGAAAUCCCGUAAUCCUGGACGGACCACCGGUGGCGAAAGCGCCUCUGGAGAACGGAUCCGACAGUGAGGGACGAAAGCUAGGGUCUCGAACCGGAUUAGAUACCCGGGUAGUCCUAGCUGUAAACGAUGCUCGCUAGGUGUGGCGCAGGCUACGAGCCUGCGCUGUGCCGUAGGGAAGCCGUGAAGCGAGCCGCCUGGGAAGUACGUCUGCAAGGAUGAAACUUAAAGGAAUUGGCGGGGGAGCACUACAACCGGAGGAGCCUGCGGUUUAAUUGGACUCAACGCCGGACAUCUCACCAGCUCCGACAGCAGUAAUGACGAUCAGGUUGAUGACCUUAUUCGACGCUGCUGAGAGGAGGUGCAUGGCCGCCGUCAGCUCGUACCGUGAGGCGUCCUGUUAAGUCAGGCAACGAGCGAGACCCGCACCUCUAGUUGCCAGCAGCAUCUCGCGAUGGCUGGGUACACUAGGGGGACUGCCGCUGCCAAAGCGGAGGAAGGAACGGGCAACGGUAGGUCAGUAUGCCCCGAAUGAGCUGGGCAACACGCGGGCUACAAUGGUCAGGACAAUGGGACGCCACCCCGAGAGGGGGCGCUAAUCUCCUAAACCUGAUCGUAGUUCGGAUUGAGGGCUGAAACUCGCCCUCAUGAAGCUGGAUUCGGUAGUAAUCGCGUGUCAGAAGCGCGCGGUGAAUACGUCCCUGCUCCUUGUACGCACCGCCCGU